Molecule: long non-coding RNA, 3160 nt
Organism: Triticum aestivum (bread wheat)
Lineage: Eukaryota; Viridiplantae; Streptophyta; Magnoliopsida; Poales; Poaceae
Exons: 2
Source: RefSeq, a predicted model, not a curated record
GCAACCUCCUCCCCUCGCCGCCGUCCGUUUGCGUCCUCUGGGCAAAGCCCCCGCGUGGAUUUGGCGGCGACGAGGCCUUUGGCGCGCCGGAGCGGCUCAGCUGCGAGGAGGCAAGCGGGGCUGCGUGCGGUCGUCCUCCCGUGCUCGCGCCCUCCCGUGCUCGCGCACGGCACAAAGGCCAUUGCGGUGGCGAACUUGAUGGGGAAGGCGACCUCCGGUGAGGGGCGGCGGAUCCAGGCGCUAGAUGGCCAGAACGGGUGUAUUCGGGGGAGAUCCGGCCGGAUCCGGUCGUCGAGGUGCUCCGGCAACGGACUAGGGGCAGGCACGGGGCGGCUUGGCAUCGGGUGGAGCCCCAUGGCCAUCCAUGGCAGACAGAGAGAGGUUAGAGAGAUAAGAGAAAGGGGAAGCAGAGGGAAAACGAGGCAGCGCGGCGGCGCUCGCCGGCACGGUUGCCGGUGGACGGACUGCGAUGAGGCAGGGAGACGUGGGCGCCAGGUGGUGAUGCGGCCGCUCGGGGGCGAUGACGACGAGGAAGGCCGGAGCACGACUUCUCGGCCGGAUCCAUGGCUCAUGAGCAGAAAGGAGACAUGGAGAUGAAGAAGAGAAAAAGGGAGAAGGGAGGGGUGGUGUGGUGACAAGGAUGGUGCUCGCCGGACCCGAUCGACGGCGGACGGGCGCGGGAGACGAAUGGAUCUGGCACGGCGGAAGUGAAAGGCGGCAACUCCGCCGGCCUGUCUGGCGACACCAACCAGGCCACGAAUGGUGCAACACAGUUGUCACAACCACUCCAGCGAGUACGAAUGAGGACUUGACCACGAAGAAUUGGUGUCGGUACAGAAUGGGGAGCAGUUCUCGCUUUGGAUAUUUUUAGGAUGUUGUUUGGCAGCAUGUUUUUAAGAAAUGCAUAUACAGUAAAGCUCACAAAGGCCAGCUAAUAUGCUUGCAUCUUUGCCAUGAAAUUACAGUAUGACAUGUUGUUCAAAAGAUUUUCGCUCCAUGAGGAGAAAGCUAAAUCCAGUUACAACAUGUUAGUGGAGUUCACAACCUGUAUCUUUGAGUGGUGCAAUGGGCUGCCUGGAUGCUGCGCUAAGGAUAAGCGGGUCAAGGUGCUGGACUGGAAGCACGGGGAGGAGGAUAAUUCCGUCAGGUACAACAGAGCCGUCGACUAAAGAAUUAACCAAACCAAUCGCUUUAUUUGAAGCUCUGAACUGUAGUUAUUUUUUUGUUCAUUAUUUUUUUAUCUUAAUAUGGGAGGAUUAUCACUGUAUAAUAUGAGAUCCUGGCACAUCAACGUUUUAGCAUUGAUAAAUGUGUCACUUUGACUGGGUCUAUUAGGCAGUACUUGUAAGGUCUAUAAUUCUAAGUUCGACCUUUAAUUGGCAACUGAUUACUGGACAUCUGAUUGCUGAUUUAUGUGUAGAGAGAAAACUUAGUUCAGUUGUUAAAAUAGCAGUUGUACUAUUCCUAAAUUUUGUCCGAACAGCUGGUUAUUCUCUUAGACUUGAACUAUUUUCGGUUUCCCUUUCACUGGAUACUUUUAGUGCUAACAAACAGUCUUUUCUUUUAUUGGCAGCAAUUUGCAGUUGGGUGGGUAUUGCUCGUUCUCAUUUACAUAUCUUUUCCGUGGCCUGUGUUGAAACAUAAUAACUUGUUGUAGACAUUGUACAAUGAUCAUAUUUCUCUUUUCAUUCCUUGGCCAGCUUGGAUUUUACCGAUCUGGUACAUGGUUGACAUAGGAACUAAGAUGUGCAAAUACAGUUGGCUAAUGUCAAGCAUACUGGAGGAAAACAGGAGGUUAUGUUAGUUAUUUUUCUUCUUCAAGAGAUUUGGUGGCCCUUCUUGGUAUGUCCAAUUGUUAAAUUUCAAAAUUUAACAAUCCUCCCCACUUGUGCAGGCCUGGCGCAGUGGUGAAGUCCUCCCCACUUGUGCCAAGAGGUCCUGGGUUCGAACCAGCCUCUCUGCAUUGCACUUUGCAGGGGUAAGACUAGGUUCCUAUAAUCCCUCCCCAGACCCCACCUUGUGUGGGAGCUUCUAUGCACUGGGUCUGUCCUUUUCUUGGUAUGUCCAAUUGUUAAAUAUAGCACUGCAUCAACCAGACCUUAAUCCUCCACUUCUGUAAUUUGGACCACAAGAAACUGUAGUUAAAUUGCAGUCUUUUGACAAAGUAAAGCCAUACACCUGAGUGUAGCAUUUUGGAGGACGAGCUUCAUGGAGCUCGUUUUCUGAAAAAUUCAAAAAUCAUAUUUUUAAGUUCCGGAAAAUUUUGGAACAAAUCAUAAACAUUCAUAUGGAUGUGCUUUACAUGUGUAUAAAGUAUGAGGAUGAAAUACAUUAUGAUGAGAGCUACAAAAAAAGACAAAUUCAUGCAUUUUUAUAAUGAACAGUGCAUGUCAUGUUCACCAUUUCAAAAUCACGAUUUUGUCUUUUUUAUGUAGCACUCACCAUAAUGUAUAUCAUCUUAAAAUUUCCCACACAUGUAUAACACAUCCGUAUGAACAUAUAUGAUUUUUUUAGAUUUUUUUGAAACUUCAAAUUUGAUUUUCAUUUUUUUAAAUAAAGAGCUCCAUGGAGCUUGGCCUCCAUUUAGCAUUUUGUCCUACACCUGGAUUAUAUAAGUAAGCAUAGGAGCUAAAGUGCCUUAGAUAGUUGUUGUUGACAGGUUGGUAUUUACGCAUAUUCAUCUAUGAGCAUAGUCAUUUGUGGAUAUAGUCUUCAAGCACCAAUAACUGAAUCCCAAUAGGCAUUUUCCCGGAUCCUAAAUAAUAAGUCUUAAUUUGUGCAGUGUUGUGCAAUCAGCGAAAAAGUAGCCUCUUGAACUCUCGAUAUGGUAUGAGUGCUCAAGAGGAAUCAAGGCUAAAAUUUGUCUUUCAUCGAUUAGUAUCUAUUUAACCAAAUAACAGAGAAUGAAUGACAGCCAUAGCUGCUACGGAUUUGAUAAAUGCAUGUUCUUGGGACGAACCAAGGUAAAGUACGGUUUCAAUAUGUUUCCUUUAAAUCAGGUAAGCAUCUCAUUUGCCCUCUAUUAAUCUGUUAUUUGUGCAUAUAACUUCUUGACUACAGUCUCAUUCUUCAUCACUCGGCCUUUUAAAAUUAGUCCUAUAUUUCAAAGGGAAACAGUGUAAUGUGUUGUCAUAUUCUGGACAUCUUUUUGUUCGACUCA